GUGGCUCCCGAGGAGGAAAACAGUUCCGCGGGCCCGCUGUGGGAAUAGCCGUGAAUCCCUCAAUGGAAGGGGCCUCAGUGGUGCCAGGCAGCUGCUCCACAAGAGAAUUGGGCCAUUUUCUCCAGGGGGCCCAACUCUCUCUAGUGUUUUUGUCAUGACAGCCUAGGUGGUAGAAGCUGAGGCCAAGGCCGCCUCUAAGGAAUGCUGCCUCCUACAGGGGUCUGACUUCAGGCUUUCCUUGUAUUGAGGCGGGAGCCCUGGAGGGUGCUCAGAGGAUCUCCUCCUCCCUGCAGGGCCCUCUAACGAGGAGAAGAGAAUCAGGUGAGUCAAAAUGAAGCAAAGCCUUGUGCGGCGCUUGAAGCCCACAGCCCACCUGGGCCCUAAGCAAGUGCAGGUGACUCAGAUCUGGUUCCUCUUCUGGCCCUUGGAGCUCUUUGCUACCCUUGCACUCCUCUGCGUGCUCGACUGCCCAGGCCUGGCUGCCACUGCAAUGCCCGGCGCCCCAGACCUUGCCUGGCAAAUGUGCCGCUGCUGGAUACCAUUCCUAGUCUCAUUCCCAGGGAAUCCAGAGGCAAGUCUGGGCUGAUACGCCCUAUGAGAUACAAUGGGCAAGGUAGGUGUUUGCCUUUUGACUGAGACCAUCUAUAAACAAGGCUGGGAUCCCAGGUCUGGCUCUGGGGCAGGGGAGCUCCAGGCCCUCGCCCUGGCAGCACAGUGAGGGAGGGACUCGCGGCUUUCAGCACCUCUUAAAUCAUCCCAGAGGGAGAGCCACUUACUUCCGCACGCACAGGCUGCCGCCGGCUCUGUCACAAGAAGAUGAACUACAAGUAAUAAAAUCAAGAUGAAGUUCUAUGUAAAUCUUUCCAGCUCACAAAGAUUGUAGAAAGUUGGAGAUGAAAAGGAUAUUAAAGACCUUCUAGUUCUACCUCGUCAUUCUGCAGCUGUAAAAACUGAGGCCCAUUCAGACAACCUGAGGAUUUUCUUAACCUUUCAAGUGACUAUAUUAUAUAUUUUCAUCCUGUUGAGGUGCGUUAGCUAGAUAGAUACUGAAAAUGAAAUGAAAGUGUACUUUCAAACUUGUAUGUGUUGCUUUUUAUGUGUGUGUAGAUAGAUAGAUAGAUGGAUAGACAGAUAUUCCUAUACUUUUAAACACUUAACCUCUUUCCAGAAAGGACUGGCAGCAUCUUCUAAUGAAAACGCAGAAGAAGUACGGCCAAAAACCAUUAACACUAAAAAGGAAGGAAAAGCCCAGUAGCAAUCAGGCAGCAGCUGAGCAGCGUGACAGGUGAUGGACAGGCUGUCAUUCCCCACCUGAGCUGAUGGAUGACCUUCGCCCUGAAGGUUCUGAUAUUCUAGGCAAAGAAGAAACUGUUAUGAAUUGAAUAGCUUUAUUAUUUUAAAAGUGUAAACAUUUAGAACAGAGGUUCUCAAAUUAUAGUCCAGGGACUCCUGGGGUUCUCCAAGCCCUUUCAGGGGGUCCACAGAUCACAACUAUUUUAAUGAAAAUCCCAUUCUCUUGAGUAUACUGUGGAGUUUUCUAGAGGCCACAUGACAGGUAAUAUUACCAUAGAUUGAAGGCAGAAGCAGAGACGAGAAUCCAGCUAUCUUCUACUAAGCCAGACAGUCAAGAGAUUUUCAAAUAUUUUAAAUAAUGUCACUCAUAAUUUAUUUUUAUUUUGGAAAAUACAUUUUCACAAAACAUUAUGUUGGUAUAUUAUGAGUAUUGCUAUUAUUUCAAAUUAACAUUUAAUUUUGGUUUUAAUUUCUAAUAUUGCAAGUAUCAAUGGAUAUGUCCUAUAUAAGCAAAAACUCUUUGGGGUUCUCAACAAUUUUUUAGAGUAUAAAGGAGUCCUGAGAACAAAACAUUUGAGAACUGUUGAUCAAAAAUAUUACUAUUAUUUGUGCAACUCAGAUGGUGAUUUUUGCCCCAAAGGUUUCUUUCUAGAAGGCAUUGGUCAUGUCUACAUUUGAUCCCAUGGCAAACUGAAAUCAUUUUAUGACUAGAUGAAGUAAGCUUUUUGUACACAUGUAUUCAUUUAUUCCUCAUUUAUCUGUUCAAGAAAUGUUCACUGAGCACGUGUUCUACAGAGUCCAGGUACCGUGCUGACUCUGAAGACAGCGACGGGCGAGACUAACUGGCUGCAUCCUCCUGGAGACUGUGAUUUCGUUUGCAAAGGAGGAACAAGGAUGACUUGAAAAUAAUCCCGGGUCAACGUCAAACCAGAUGGAAACUGCUUUUGUUUAUCCUCACAUAAACUACCAAUUUAAAGAAAAUACUACUUAUUUUCCUAAGUCUGAAGAGUUGAGGUUAAAGAAUUUCCCGGCAGGAGCACACCAUGUGCCAGGUAUUGUAUUCACUGAUGAUUCAAGUUACAGCAGCCCUAGCCUGUCAUUAUCGUGUUUAAAGAACUGGACUUUUGGAGGGAGCGAUCAGUAACUUCACUGAGUGAGCAAGCGAGCAGUUCACCGCAUACCUGAAACAGGACUCAAAGCACCGCCACUGACGCGCAGCCAUUCAGGGAAAAGGCACAAAGUAUCAGUGUGGAGGGAGUCCAGGAGUCUUCGAGCUGAUACCGGCAGCGCUGACUUACUCCCACAGUCCUGCAGCAGGCUGCGAGCAGAGAUACGGCCUGGCAGUGUGUCAUGGGAAUUUGUGACUGUUUCUCUGGCUGUGUGAUGAGAUUUUUGGCUGCCUAGAAACGUUGGUGGUUGGAACCCCCCGGGCUAGUGUUCUGUUAACCUAGUAAGUAGAAAGGAAAGUCUUUCCUGGAAUUCUGAAUUUUAAAAACCUGUUUCAAAAAAGCAAACAAAAAAAACCCAAACAUAAUUUCAGCACAUUCAAACAACAGCAAUAAUAAUAAUAAUAACAAAAACUGAGCUAUAUAAAAGCUCUAUAAAGAGCGAACCUUCUCCCUCCCAACAUCAGCCAUUUCUAGAACAUAGUUUCACGAGAAGGGAAGGAAAGGAGAUGGUUGUUUGAUACUAGUUCCUAGGCACUUCCCAGGAAAUGGGAUCAGGGAAGCCGGAGCAGUCCCAAGAUCAGAAAUCAGGACGCUCCUCUUACUUUGUCCUGGGAUACAGGACCACUGAUGCUCUUCCCUGGGCAUCAGCACCAGAUGGUGGCUUUCCUAUGAGACUCUACAUCAUCGGCCUGGCCUCUGGGUCUGACCCAGUGCUGCUGGCGGGGCCUCUCUCUCUCCUGGUUCCUCUUGUGCCCUACAGAGUCAAUCAGUGGGAUCAGGACAACUGAUGGAUCUUGUUCAUGCUUUACUGGCCUACCGCCUCCACUGGGCUGCAAGCUCCUUAAGGACAGGGACAUGUCUUGUUCACCAAAGUAGCCUAGCCUACUAGUUCACCAGCACCUAGCUCAACCCCAGCCCCAAAGUCAGCCCUCAGUAAAGGUUUUUGAACUGUGCUAUUAAAUGAAGUGCAAAGGUCCAAACG
This is a long non-coding RNA of Equus caballus (horse), 3444 nucleotides long. NCBI's taxonomy places the organism in Eukaryota, Metazoa, Chordata, Mammalia, Perissodactyla, Equidae. The record is from Ensembl.